Molecule: ribosomal RNA, 345 nt
Filed under: Triticum aestivum (bread wheat)
Lineage: Eukaryota; Viridiplantae; Streptophyta; Magnoliopsida; Poales; Poaceae
Description: partial small subunit ribosomal RNA
Source: RNAcentral
AUGCAAGGUAUGGCCUUGUCCAUUCAGCACUCUGAUCUUCCGGUGGUGGCGCAAACGGAUUCAUCCGAAGCUCUCUCCAGUUUAACAAAUGGGACACUUCUUCACUCGGCAUGUGGUCAGAUUGUCUUGGAGAUCAAGGAUCUUCUAGGUACUAGGGAGUUUUUUCCUCAAAAGAUUAGUCGAUUCCAAAAUAGAGUUGCCGAUUGUUUGGCGAAAUAUAGCCACUCCGAACGUGCUACGGUUGUGUGGCUAGGUUCGGUUCCACCAUGUAUCAAGGACGUGUGGCCUCUCGACGUAACUCUAUUCCUAUGCAAUCAACUCCCUUUACCCCCGCAAAAAAACUAA